UAUCCUCCACGUUUCUUUAUUCUCCAAAAUUGACUUCCAAGUCGGUCGACGAUUGAUGAACGGACCGAACGAAAGCGACUCCCUUGCGACAUCGUUACAAUUUGACCCCUCCACGAGGGCCAUUAUAACAGGAUGCCCUGACGGGACCUCUGGAAAGAUCACCGUUCUGGGUGUUGUCGAUCGCUGACGUACGUGUGGCGCGCCGACUCCGCUCUUCGUGGGCGGCAAUGGCAAGACGUUUGUAUGAGAAGCCGGAGCGGUCAAGGAUACACAGUUGGCCGACACACGCUCUGCGGUUACUGCAACAUCCUUAAGGUGUGUCAUGGUUGUUGAGAUGGAUCGUGGCGCGUCCAUGGAGAUGAAGAUCCAGCGCAGAUCCAUACCCCUCUUUAAUACUAUAUGAUUUUAACGACGCAAAAUUAUAUAUAAUUAUAUUAUAUAUAUAUAUAUAUACUUAAGAAUAAAAACAAAUUAAAAUACCCAUAUUGCAAAGUGAAGAGAAGUCGGCUCCAAACAAAAUCCCAAUCAGACACGAAGCCAAUAUAAAAUAUGCGACGAGACGCUAUUCACUUGAUUGUUUGGAUGCGAAUGCAUACACACGUAGCUCUGCUCACUCGUCUGCACGUACGAUUUGAAGGGUCGGAGUGUUUCAUCAGUCCGUCCGUCCGUCGUAGAAUUGCGUAGAACGAAUCCGCAGGAAUGUGCCCGCGCACCGCAUCGCGACGCGUCUCUCUAUCACACAAUCAACUCGGUGUAAGAAAGGUCCCAAAUACAUUUUGUACAUCACAUCCAAUCGGAGUUUUCCAUUUGAAACAUUAUUAUUAUUAUUAUUAUUAUUAUAUUGUCGGAAAAGAAGUAACUAUGGUGGAGAGGUUGUAUCUAUCUAUGUUAGUUGAUACAAUUCUGUGCCCAUUAUCUCUGAGUGAAUAAGUUGCUUGUUAUUAUUUAUCUAUUUUGCAAUUCGUCAUGUUAAUAAGCUGCUGCUUCUUGCUUUUCUUUUUCUUUCAUCGAAUGGCCAUUGAAGUUUGUAAGUAGUACCAUAAUUACUUCUGAACGUGUUAUGGUUAAAGUGGGUUAAUUUAACCCUAAUAAAUCAAACCCUAAGUUAACGGAAUCUUGGGAAUCUGUUGAUUAGUAAUUGAUGCAUUGAUUAAUUUGUUUUGCAUGACCAAAUUUUCCUGCUGAUCUGGUUAAGUUAGUAUACUUGUGUUUAUGUUGUCAACUUCAAGGUUCUUUGUGUGACUGAUCUGAUGCUACAUUCUUCGUGUUUCAGACCCAGCAGAAGCAGAAGGAACAUUCUCCAGAAAAGGAUGGUGAUGAAUAAAUGAUUUGUGAAGGCUGCUCGUUCGCCGACGGUGAGAGAGGAUUUAUAGCAAACCUCAUCUCCUAGACGUUGGUGAGAUAAACAUGACUUGGUUCUUUUCUUGCAGUGAGAUAUCGACACACAUUCUGAUAUAAAAAAGAGAUUAAGAUGGGUCGUAAAAUAUUCAAGUAUUUCUAUGUCUUUUUUUUUUUUUCUCCCGAUGCUGAUGCUGAUGCUGUGAUAAACUGGUUGCUGUUAGUUCUCGUGCUGAACUGAAGAUGGUCUGCAUUUC
RNAcentral lists this long non-coding RNA (1595 nucleotides) under Musa acuminata (dwarf banana). RNAcentral's name for it is "long non-coding RNA (MACU_LNC006144)". Lineage: Eukaryota; Viridiplantae; Streptophyta; Magnoliopsida; Zingiberales; Musaceae. The record is from RNAcentral.